UUGUUAACAUUUUACACGUUUUUUACCACGUUCCAGGUGUUUUUAAAUGCCCUAUUAAAACUAAGAAGUCGUAAUAAUAUUAGAAAAUUUAACGUAAUUUUAGUGUCACUUAUUUAUUAACACAGUUAAAUUAUGAAACUAUUAUGGCGAAUCAGUUGCAUCUUGUCUAGUGUAAUCGCCAUAUUAUGGAUAUUUCCUCUAGUUGGGGCAAGUAAAUAUCACCCCGAGGCUUUACUGACAACGGAACAAAAAGUUAAAAGACACGGUUACCCGAUCGAAGUAUACCAAAUUACCACGCAAGACGAUUAUCUGUUGCCUCUCUACCGUGUACCCCAUGGAAUAUAUAACAAAAAUCGCGACAACAAAAACAAAAGUGUGGUCGUUUUACUCCAUGGGAUGGGAGGAUGUCCGGACAACUAUCUUCUUUUUGGAAGAGAUUCUCUGCCGUAUUUUUUUGCCGAAAGAGAUUUUGAUGUGUUCCUGUUUUCAUCGAGGGGUACACCCAGCCCUUUCAAAAGAAACCAUAAGAGGUGGGAUUGGAAUGAAGACCUAGACUACUGGGU
Molecule: long non-coding RNA, 563 nt
Organism: Sitophilus oryzae (rice weevil)
Lineage: Eukaryota; Metazoa; Arthropoda; Insecta; Coleoptera; Curculionidae
Exons: 3
Source: RefSeq, a predicted model, not a curated record